GCUGGGCACAGUGGCGCACGCCUGUAAUCUCAGCAGCUUGGGAGACUGAGACAGGAGGAUUGCGAGUUCAAAGCCAGCCUCAGCAACAGGUGAGGCACUAAGUAACUCAGUGAGACCCUGUCUCUA
This 126-nucleotide small RNA is filed under the name Marmota monax (woodchuck). Lineage: Eukaryota; Metazoa; Chordata; Mammalia; Rodentia; Sciuridae. The record is from RNAcentral.